CACUGUUGCUUCGGCGGGGAACCCCCUCGGGGGCGAGCCGCCGGGGACUACUGAACUUCAUGCCUGAGAGUGAUGCAGUCUGAGUCUGAAUAUAAAAUCAGUCAAAACUUUCAACAAUGGAUCUCUUGGUUCCGGCAUCGAUGAAGAACGCAGCGAACUGCGAUAAGUAAUGUGAAUUGCAGAAUUCAGUGAAUCAUCGAGUCUUUGAACGCACAUUGCGCCCCCUGGCAUUCCGGGGGGCAUGCCUGUCCGAGCGUCAUUGCUGCCCAUCAAGCCCGGCUUGUGUGUUGGGUCGUCGUCCCCCCCCGGGGGACGGGCCCGAAAGGCAGCGGCGGCACCGUGUCCGGUCCUCGAGCGUAUGGGGCUUUGUCACCCGCUCGACUAGGGCCGGCCGGGCGCCAGCCGACGUCUCCAACCAUUUUUCUUCAGGUUGACCUCGGAUCAGGUAGGGAUACCCGCUGAACUUAAGCAUAUCAAUAAGCGGAGGAAAAGAAACCAACCGGGAUUGCCUCAGUAACGGCGAGUGAAGCGGCAAGAGCUCAAAUUUGAAAUCUGGCCCCUCCGGGGUCCGAGUUGUAAUUUGCAGAGGAUGCUUCGGGUGCGGCCCCUGUCUAAGUGCCCUGGAACGGGCCGUCAGAGAGGGUGAGAAUCCCGUCUUGGGCAGGGUGCCCGUGCCCGUGUGAAGCUCCUUCGACGAGUCGAGUUGUUUGGGAAUGCAGCUCAAAAUGGGUGGUAAAUUUCAUCUAAAGCUAAAUACCGGCCGGAGACCGAUAGCGCACAAGUAGAGUGAUCGAAAGAUGAAAAGCACUUUGAAAAGAGAGUUAAACAGCACGUGAAAUUGUUGAAAGGGAAGCGCUUGCAACCAGACUCGGCCUCGGGGUUCAGCCAGCAUUCGUGCUGGUGUACUUCCCCGGGGCCGGGCCAGCGUCGGUUUGGGCGGCCGGUCAAAG
RNAcentral lists this small RNA (950 nucleotides) under Aspergillus sydowii. RNAcentral's name for it is "eukaryotic LSU rRNA". The stretch from base 432 to 950 matches the Rfam family "Eukaryotic large subunit ribosomal RNA", at positions 1 to 524 of the family's 3401-position model. Lineage: Eukaryota; Fungi; Ascomycota; Eurotiomycetes; Eurotiales; Aspergillaceae. The record is from RNAcentral.